AACGAACGCUGGCGGCAUGCCUAACACACGCAAGUCGAACGAGACCUUCGGGUCUAGUGGCGCACGGGUGCGUAACGCGUGGGAACCUGCCCUUAGGUUCGGAAUAACUCCCCGAAAGGGGUGCUAAUACCGGAUAAUGUCUUCGGACCAAAGAUUUAUCGCCUUUGGAUGGGCCCGCGUUGGAUUAGCUAGUUGGUAGGGUAAAAGCCUACCAAGGCGACGAUCCAUAGCUGGUCUGUGAGGAUGAUCAGCCACACUGGGACUGAGACACGGCCCAGACUCCUACGGGAGGCAGCAGUGGGGAAUAUUGGACAAUGGGCGAAAGCCUGAUCCAGCAAUGCCGCGUAAGUGAUGAAGGCCUUAGGGUUGUAAAGCUCUUUUACCCGGGAUGAUAAUGACAGUACCGGGAGAAUAAGCUCCGGCUAACUCCGUG
This 433-nucleotide ribosomal RNA is filed under the name uncultured bacterium. Its description in RNAcentral is "partial 16S ribosomal RNA". It matches the Rfam family "Bacterial small subunit ribosomal RNA", at positions 29 to 507 of the family's 1533-position model. The record is from RNAcentral.